GGCUCAGUAACACGUAGAUAAUCUGCCCUCGGGCCAGUAAUACCGUCGGGAAACUGACAUUAAGGACUGAUAGGAGAUGGUUUCUGGAAUGAGCUAUCUUUUAAUUUCGUGCCCAAGGAUGAGUCUGCGGCUGAUUAGGCUGUUGGCGGGGUAAUGGCCCACCAAACCAUUGAUCAGUAAGGGCCCUUAGCGGGGAAACCCUGAGAGGGAGUCUGAGACACUACUCCCAGCCCUACGGGGUGCAGCAGUUAGGGAUUUUUUGCAAUGCGCGCAAGCGUGACAGAGCGAGCCAGAGUGUUUUUCCAAUUUGGAAAAACUUUUGCCAGCUGUAAAAAGGCUGGCGAAUAAGGACUGGGCAAGACCGGUGCCAGCCGCCGCGGUAAUCCCGGCAGUCCAAGUCGCAACCACAAUUAUUGGGUCUAAAACAUCCGUAGCUUGCUUAGUAAGUCUGUUGUGAAAUUCUGUCUCUUAAGGGCAGAAACUGCAAUGGAUACUGCAAAGCUAGAGACCGGGGGACGCAACGAGUACAUCUGAGGUAGUGGUAAAAUACGUUAAUCUUAGGUGGACUAACACUAGCGAAGGCACGUUGCGAUAACGGUUCUGACAGUGAGGGAUGAAGGCUAGGGGCGCAAAUUGGAUUAGAUACCCAAGUAGUCCUAGCAGUAAACACUGCGCACUAAACAUUGUGACCUCCUCG
This 697-nucleotide ribosomal RNA is filed under the name uncultured archaeon. RNAcentral's name for it is "bacterial SSU rRNA". It matches the Rfam family "Archaeal small subunit ribosomal RNA", at positions 87 to 787 of the family's 1478-position model. The record is from RNAcentral.